RNAcentral lists this ribosomal RNA (404 nucleotides) under Actinomycetes bacterium. Its description in RNAcentral is "Actinobacteria bacterium partial 16S ribosomal RNA". It matches the Rfam family "Bacterial small subunit ribosomal RNA", at positions 355 to 776 of the family's 1533-position model. The record is from RNAcentral. Lineage: Bacteria; Bacillati; Actinomycetota; Actinomycetes.
UGGGGAAUAUUGGACAAUGGGCGCAAGCCUGAUCCAGCCAUGCCGCGUGAGUGAUGAAGGCCCUUUGGUUGUAAAGCUCUUUCACCGGUGAAGAUAAUGACGGUAACCGGAGAAGAAGCCCCGGCCAACUUCGUGCCAGCAGCCGCGGUAAUACGAAGGGGGCUAGCGUUGUUCGGAUUUACUGGGCGUAAAGCGCACGUAGGCGGACUUUUAAGUCAGGGGUGAAAUCCCGGGGCUCAACCCCGGAACUGCCUUUGAUACUGGAAGUCUUGAGUAUGGUAGAGGUAAGUGGAAUUCCGGGUGUAGAGGUAAGAUUCGUAGAUAUGCGGGGGAACACCAGUGGCGAAGGCGGCGCACUGGACCAUUACUGACGCUGAGGUGCGAAAGCGUGGGGAGCAAACAGG